AUUGAACGCUGGCGGCAGGCCUAACACAUGCAAGUCGAGCGGAUGAAGGGAGCUUGCUCCUGGAUUCAGCGGCGGACGGGUGAGUAAUGCCUAGGAAUCUGCCUGGUAGCGGGGGAUAACGUCCGGAAACGGGCGCUAAUACCGCAUACGUCCUGAGGGAGAAAGUGGGGGAUCUUCGGACCUCACGCUAUCAGAUGAGCCUAGGUCGGAUUAGCUAGUUGGUGGGGUAAAGGCCUACCAAGGCGACGAUCCGUAACUGGUCUGAGAGGAUGAUCAGUCACACUGGAACUGAGACACGGUCCAGACUCCUACGGGAGGCAGCAGUGGGGAAUAUUGGACAAUAGGCGAAAGCCUGAUCCAGCCAUGCCGCGUGUGUGAAGAAGGUCUUCGGAUUGUAAAGCACUCUAAGUUGGGAGGAAGGGCAGUAAGUUAAUACCUUGCUGUUUUGACGUUACCAACAGAAUAAGCACCGGCUAACUUCGUG
Molecule: ribosomal RNA, 484 nt
Filed under: uncultured bacterium
Lineage: Bacteria
Description: partial 16S ribosomal RNA
Rfam family: Bacterial small subunit ribosomal RNA
Source: RNAcentral